AUACGGAGGAUCCGAGUGUUAUCCGGAUUUAUUGGGUUUAAAGGGUGCGCAGGCGGAAGAUUAAGUCGGCGGUGAAAUUUUGCAGCUCAACUGUAAAAGUGCCUUCGAAACUGGUUUUCUUGAGUGUAGAUGAAGUAGGCGGAAUUUGUGGUGUAGCGGUGAAAUGCUUAGAUAUCACGAGGAACUCCGAUUGCGCAGGCAGCUUACUAAACUACUACUGACGCUCAGGCACGAAGGCGUGGGGAUC
This 247-nucleotide ribosomal RNA is filed under the name uncultured bacterium. Its description in RNAcentral is "partial 16S ribosomal RNA". It matches the Rfam family "Bacterial small subunit ribosomal RNA", at positions 523 to 769 of the family's 1533-position model. The record is from RNAcentral.